Molecule: ribosomal RNA, 788 nt
Filed under: uncultured archaeon
Lineage: Archaea
Description: bacterial SSU rRNA
Rfam family: Archaeal small subunit ribosomal RNA
Source: RNAcentral
ACGGCUCAGUAACACGUGGCUAACCUACCCUCGAGCCCGUAAUAUCGUCGGGAAACUGACGUUAAUGACGGAUAAAUGAUUUUUUCUGGAAUGAUUAAUCGUUGAAAUUUAGCGCAAGGAUGGGGCUGCGGCUGAUUAGGUAGUUGGCGGGGUAACUGCCCACCAAGCCAUUGAUCAGUAAGGGCUCUUAGCGGAGAAGCCCUGAGAGGGAAUCUGAGACACUAUUCCCAGCCCUACGGGGUGCAGCAGUCGGGAAAAUUCUGCAAUGUACGAAAGUAUGACAGAGCAAGCCAAAGUGCUUUUCUUUUAGAAAAGCUUUUGUGUGCUGUAAAAAGGCACUCGAAUAAGGACCGGGAGAGACUGGUGCCAGCCGCCGCGGUAAUCCCAGCGGUCCAAGUCGCAGCCACAUUUGUUGGGUCUAAAACAUCCGUAGCUUGCCUUACAAGUCUUUUGUGAAAUCGGGACUCUUAAGGUUCCGUCGGGCAAAAGAUACUGUUUGGCUAGAGACCGGGAGAUGUAAAGAGUACAGAUAGGGUAGUGGUUAAAUACGUUGAUCCUUUCUGGACUAACGAUAGCGAAGGCACUUUACAAGCACGGAUCUGACAGUGAGGGAUGAAGGCUAGGGGCGCAAAGUGGAUUAGAUACCCAUGUAGUCCUAGCAGUAAACACUGCACACUAAACAUUAGUGCCUCUUCGAGAGGCAUUAGUGCUGUAGGGAAGCCGGAGAGUGUGCUACCUGGGAAGUAUAGACGCAAGUCCGAAACUUAAAGGAAUUGGCGGGGGAGCAC